CACGCCGUCACUGGGGAGUAGCCGCCCGUAACUCCAGCGGGGGACACGUCAACAAACUUGCCGCAAGGCAUGGCGUGUCCGGCAAAGACCCUGAGUCGCUUCGGCGGCCCAGGCGCUUGGCGAGACCUUUGGCU
This 134-nucleotide small RNA is filed under the name Phenylobacterium sp. RNAcentral's name for it is "Manganese sequence". It matches the Rfam family "Manganese Mn2+ riboswitch aptamer (yybP-ykoY)". From Rfam's summary of the family: This RNA was originally discovered in E. coli during a large scale screen and was named SraF. The family was later found to exist upstream of related families of protein genes in many bacteria, including the the yybP and ykoK genes in B. subtilis. Lineage: Bacteria; Pseudomonadati; Pseudomonadota; Alphaproteobacteria; Caulobacterales; Caulobacteraceae. The record is from RNAcentral.